GGCAUCGGGUAGAGGGAAAAGGAGCAAUCCGCUUUGAGAUGGCCUCGCGUCCGAUUAGCUAGUUGGUGAGGUAAUGGCCCACCAAGGCGACGAUCGGUAGCCGGACUGAGAGGUUGAACGGCCACAUUGGGACUGAGACACGGCCCAGACUCCUACGGGAGGCAGCAGUGGGGAAUAUUGCACAAUGGGGGAAACCCUGAUGCAGCGACGCCGCGUGGAGGAAGAAGGUCUUCGGAUUGUAAACUCCUGUUGUUGAGGAAGAUAAUGACGGUACUCAACAAGGAAGUGACGGCUAACUACGUGCCAGCAGCCGCGGUAAAACGUAGGUCACAAGCGUUGUCCGGAAUUACUGGGUGUAAAGGGAGCGCAGGCGGGAAGACAAGUUGGAAGUGAAAUCCAUGGGCUCAACCCAUGAACUGCUUUCAAAACUGUUUUUCCUGAGUAGUGCAGAGGUAGGCGGAAUUCCCGGUGUAGCGGUGGAAUGCGUAGAUAUCGGGAGGAACACCAGUGGCGAAGGCGGCCUACUGGGCACCAACUGACGCUGAGGCUCGAAAGUGUGGGUAGCAAACAGGAUUAGAUACCCUGGUAGUCCACACUGUAAACGAUGAUUACUAGGUGUUGGAGUUGACCCCUUCAGUGCCGCAGUUAACACAAUAAGUAAUCCACCUGGGGAGUACGACCGCAAGGUUGAAACUCAAAGGAAUUGACGGGGGCCCGCACAAGCAGUGGAGUAUGUGGUUUAAUUCGACGCAACGCGAAGAACCUUACCAAGUCUUGACAUCCUGCGACGCACAUAGAAAUAUGUGUUUCCUUCGGGACGCAGAGACAGGUGGUGCAUGGUUGUCGUCAGCUCGUGUCGUGAGAUGUUGGGUUAAGUCCCGCAACGAGCGCAACCCUUAUGGUCAGUUACUACGCAAGAGGACUCUGGCCAGACUGCCGUUGACAAAACGGAGGAAGGUGGGGAUGACGUCAAAUCAUCAUGCCCUUUAUGACUUGGGCUACACACGUACUACAAUGGCGUUAAACAAAGAGAAGCAAGACCGCGAGGUGGAGCAAAACUCAGAAACAACGUCCCAGUUCGGACUGCAGGCUGCAACUCGCUUGCACGAAGUCGGAAUUGCUAGUAAUCGCAGAUCAGCAUGCUGCGGUGAAUACGUUCCCGGGCCUUGUACACACCGCCCGUCACACCAUGAGAGCCGGGGGGACCCGAAGUCGGUAGUCUAACCGCAAGGAGGACGCCGCCGAAGGUAAAACUGGUGAUUGGGGUGAAGUCGUAACAAGGUA
This 1284-nucleotide ribosomal RNA is filed under the name metagenome. RNAcentral's name for it is "bacterial SSU rRNA". It matches the Rfam family "Bacterial small subunit ribosomal RNA", at positions 187 to 1498 of the family's 1533-position model. The record is from RNAcentral.